Molecule: ribosomal RNA, 305 nt
Filed under: uncultured bacterium
Lineage: Bacteria
Description: bacterial SSU rRNA
Rfam family: Bacterial small subunit ribosomal RNA
Source: RNAcentral
GCCUACGGGGGGCAGCAGUAGGGAAUCUUCCACAAUGGGCGAAAGCCUGAUGGAGCAACGCCGCGUGGGUGAAGAAGGUCUUCGGAUCGUAAAACCCUGUUGUUAGAGAAGAAAGUGCGUGAGAGUGACUGUUCACGUUUCGACGGUAUCUAACCAGAAAGCCACGGCUAACUACGUGCCAGCAGCCGCGGUAAUACGUAGGUGGCAAGCGUUAUCCGGAUUUAUUGGGCGUAAAGGGAACGCAGGCGGUCUUUUAAGUCUGAUGUGAAAGCCUUCGGCUUAACCGGAGUAGUGCAUUGGAAACU